Molecule: unclassified non-coding RNA, 149 nt
Filed under: soil metagenome
Description: partial internal transcribed spacer 1
Source: RNAcentral
CCGAGUUUACAACUCCCAAACCCCUGUGAACAUACCACUUUGUUGCCUCGGCGGAUCAGCCCGCUCCCGGUAAAAACGGGACGGCCCGCCAGAGGACCCCUAAACUCUGUUUCUAUAUGUAACUUCUGAGUAAAACCAUAAAUAAAUCA